Drosophila nasuta is the source of this 1818-nucleotide long non-coding RNA. RefSeq lists it as uncharacterized. The transcript has 2 exons. The record is from RefSeq and is a predicted model, not a curated record. Lineage: Eukaryota; Metazoa; Arthropoda; Insecta; Diptera; Drosophilidae.
AGCGCUCCUAAAGUGAGGGAAAAAUUAUUUAUUGAAAAUGAUUAUCCAGAGGGAGUCGCUCAAGGUUUUCUUAUGAAUGCUUUGCUGGAGCUGUGGGUGGCUGUAGAUGGGUUUUUAUUUUGUUAAUGAUUCGAUGACGCCUUGUACUUGACACAUCGAUCAAAAAUCAUUAUGACUUAUUUGGGUUGCGUGCGUUAGUCAUGAAAGUGUGAAUGCCUGAUACACUGCACAAAACUAGAAAAUAUUUUGGUCAGUAAGUACAUCUUGGACAAGUAUUAGUCCAGAAAAUCAUAAAAAUUUACAACAUUAUGAAUUUCAUUCGCAAUUAAAGAGUAUUCGAAAUCGACUUAUAGCUGGACAUGUAUUUUGGCUGACUCGUUUGAAAUGUUUUCAAUAACUAAUCAAUCUUAAGAUUGACUUGGAUGUCUGCUUUGCACGCGAUGACUUAUUUCGGUUAGUGUUUUCCACAGCCGGGAACAGAAGAUGAAGCCAAAUAGAAGCCGGCAAUGGAGCUGAGCUGCUGAUUUUGCAAUGGCGCAGGAGAAGGAGGAGAUGACGAGGGAAGGAGGAGGAGAGGUGAAGAGCAUCGAAAACUUUUUCGGAACUGGCUGUGUGUACUCGACAACAGCAAAGCAAGUGCCAACUUUUUUGCUGGCGCACAUCAAUCAGCCUGGGGUGGAAACGUAAGCUCACGUCACUCAGCCAGACAGUCCUUCAGUCAACGGGUCGACGAGGCACACGGAGGUGAAAAGACGGAGGGAAACGGAGACAGAGGCAGAGACACAAAAAGAGAGGAGUGAGAGAUGGAUAGAGUAUGCGAGGUAGUGGGUUUUGAAACUUAUGGCGUUGACAGCCGGAAUACAAAAUGCGGGCGAACAAUGUCGAUACGAAUCAAGCGAAAGUUCAACUUGCUUUUCUUUUCCAUGCUGCUCUCUGUUCAGUUUCCCCAUUGCCAUGAUGCACGCUAGCUGCUCGUUCGGCACAUAAGUGUAUGAAUUGCGAAUGACUAUGGAAAAUAUGAAAAAUUUGCUUGCCAGUCCGCAACAGAGAGUUACAUCCUUUGGCCAUGCCAUCCCAAAGAGAGCUAGCUAGAGAGAGAGAGAGAGAGAGAGAGAGAGAGUUCUGAACUAUAAAUGCCAGACAAUAAAUAACCGCAACUUAAGCAUAUUGCGGUAGGAGCUCACAGACCGCCGUCUAACCCUCUGACACUCUCCUAUAACUCACUCACUCAUACUUUCUCGCUCUUCCUCUGGCACCCUCCGACCGUCGGCCAUAUUUCAUUUUCAUGCUCCCAAUUGUUUUGCUUUUGACAAAUGAGUGAGCUAGACAGAGGCAUACACAGACGCGUACACUGUAAAUUCAGCAAGUGCGGGUGCCGUUCGACUUCCACUAAGCAGACUCAAAUGUGAUCGCGAUCUGUCGUGCAGUGUAGUGAGCGAGUGACAGAGAUAGCACUAGCGCAUGUGCUCCACAAGGCAGGCCAUCAAAAUAACAAAUAACAACGACUAGCACAAUUGAUUGGAUGUCAUUAAUUUUCAUUUCAAAUUACGCUGCCACUAUGUCUUGGUCAUGGUACCACUUCUACAUCGACUUCAACAUCACUCUUGUCCUCGUUUUUGUUCUCGUCCUCGUCCUCGUCUUCGUCCUGAUUGUGCUUUGCCUGCAGCUGGGAGAUGUCAGGCAAGUUAACAUCAGGCAGCCACUGGGCCAAAGUCAAAGUCGUGCCAAAGUCAGGCCAACAGGCCAAAUAUACAGAACGCAAAGAAGUCAAAAUGCCAUCGCCUUUUCAAGUUUGAAGUUUCUCUAUUCUUAGCCAGA